This is a non-coding RNA of Podarcis muralis (Common wall lizard), 270 nucleotides long. The record is from RefSeq and is a predicted model, not a curated record. Lineage: Eukaryota; Metazoa; Chordata; Lepidosauria; Squamata; Lacertidae.
AUACCUAUGGAAACACCACAAGGAGGACCUGAGAGCACCAGCAAGUCUCCCGAAGAGAAUUAUUAUUACACUGAAGAGCAACACGUCUGGUGCGUUCUGGAGAAUGAAACGGCGAGGCAAAAGAGAGAGACUUUAAGCAAGUUCAACGGCUCAAAUUGCGGCUACCUAUCAGUAAGAGCUGUUUGACAGUCGAACGGACUCCCUCUGGAGAUUGUGGUCUCUCCUUCCUUGGAGGUUUUUAAGCAAAAGUUGGAUGGCCAUCUGUCAUGG